This 434-nucleotide ribosomal RNA is filed under the name uncultured Oscillospiraceae bacterium. Its description in RNAcentral is "bacterial SSU rRNA". It matches the Rfam family "Bacterial small subunit ribosomal RNA", at positions 341 to 792 of the family's 1533-position model. The record is from RNAcentral. Lineage: Bacteria; Bacillati; Bacillota; Clostridia; Eubacteriales; Oscillospiraceae.
ACGGAAGGCAGCAGUGGGGAAUAUUGGGCAAUGGGCGAAAGCCUGACCCAGCGACGCCGCGUGAAGGAAGACGGUCCUCGGAUUGUAAACUUCUUUUAUAAGGGACGAUAGUGACGGUACCUUAUGAAUAAGCCACGGCUAACUACGUGCCAGCAGCCGCGGUAAUACGUAGGUGGCGAGCGUUAUCCGGAUUUACUGGGUGUAAAGGGCGCGUAGGCGGGGAUGCAAGUCAGGUGUGAAAUCUAUGGGCUUAACCCAUAAACUGCAUUUGAAACUGUAUCUCUUGAGUGUCGGAGAGGUAGAUGGAAUUCCUAGUGUAGCGAUGAAAUGCGUAGAUAUUAGGAGGAACACCAGUGGCGAAGGCGGUCUACUGGACGAUAACUGACGCUGAGGCGCGAAAGCGUGGGGAGCAAACAGGAUUAGAUACCCUGGUA